CACGGGAUCUUCCCAACCCAGGGAUCAAACCCAUCUCACGCCUCCUACAUUGGCAGGUGGAUUCUUUACCACUAGCGCCACCUGGGAAGCCCUGGCUGAGCCCAUUCUCCUUCUCCAGGGAACAUCAACCUUGGGUCUCUCUUCUCCUAGUGCUAUUCCCUGCAGAGGCAGGAGGUCAGCGAUGGCCCUGGGCAACACCGCUUCUGCCAAAACUGACCAGCCCGAGAGGCCUGGGAGUGGGGGACAGACACCUGGAAGGGUCAUCUCCUCGGGUGGUCCACGCAGGCGGGCAGCCUGGGAGCCCUGACGCUGAGCCCAUGGCUGUUUUCCAGCUGUCUCUCAUUUAGCCUGUCGAGUGCGGUGAGGGGUCUUCCCAGGAGCUGAGUCCACGGGGCUGCGAGCCCUGCUCUCCACCACACCUCUCCGCUCCUGUACCCACACCUGGGAGCCUCUCCUCAGAUCCAACAUCUGAAGCUGAUGCCCCGGCGUCCAGGGUAUCUAGGGGCUUGCACAGAGCCCCCCCACACCCACCCUGAGAGCUGGAAAUUGGAGCAAACAGAGGGGCCAGACCGGCAAGAGAUGUCAGAUCAUUUCUCCACCAUGAGGAGGAAAGCGACCCCAGUGAACCCUGUAGCUCUUACAGACACCGGCUUCCGUGCAGAAUGGCAAAAAACUGUGGGGUCAAGAAGAGUCUGAGCGAAGCCAGCUUCCAACACCUCCAGCCCCCAGAUUUCUGCGGCCCCUGAUGCUGCUGGAACCCAAGAGCACCCCCCCGACCCCAGGAGCCCAUCCCCUCCUCCCCGGGAGCAUGGCUGUCAUCCUCAGUGGAGCUCUUGUUCAGACUCUUUCUCCCUGGAGGGUGGAUCCCCAGGUGUCUCAGGCUCAGCCCUUCCAUGUCAAAGACCAUCACAGCCGUGUCGACCCUCCUGCCCAGCUGCACAGGACACAGCAGGAACUCGGGUCAGAUGAUGGCUCCAGCCAGGAGAUCCUGGCCAGAGAGCGCCCCUGAGGAUCCCUCCCUCCACCGUCCUGCCCCCUCCCCCAGCUGCCCACAGCAUUUUCCAAACAGACAGAGCCCAUCCAGGGUCUAAGGAGGUGCCACCUCUGAGCCUUAGCGUGGUGGCCUUCACACACUGCUCAACACUGUAGCCUGGAAUGAGUUAACUGUGAUUAAAGACAUCAUUUGUUCACUGGGCA
This is a long non-coding RNA of Bubalus bubalis (water buffalo), 1197 nucleotides long. RefSeq lists it as uncharacterized. The transcript has 3 exons. NCBI's taxonomy places the organism in Eukaryota, Metazoa, Chordata, Mammalia, Artiodactyla, Bovidae. The record is from RefSeq and is a predicted model, not a curated record.